CGAGCACGCGCGUGUGGCAUAUCAAUAAGCGGAGGAAAAGAAACUAACAAGGAUUCCCUUAGUAACGGCGAGUGAAGCGGGAAGAGCUCAAAUUUGAAAUCUUCAAGGUUCUACCUUGACGAAUUGUAGUUUAUAGAAGUGUUUUCUGUUAGUAGAGUGGCAAAAGUUCUUUGGAAUAGGACAUCAUAGAGGGUGAGAAUCCCGUAUUUGGUCAUUCCUUCUAGCUUUGUGAUACACUUUCAAAGAGUCGGAUUGUUUGGGAAUGCAGUCCAAAAUGGGUGGUAAAUUUCAUCUAAAGCUAAAUAUUGGCGAGAGACCGAUAGCGAACAAGUACCGUGAGGGAAAGAUGAAAAGAACUUUGAAAAGAGAGUUAAACAGUACGUGAAAUUGUCAAAAGGGAAGCGUUUGACACCAGUGUUGUUUUUCCGAAAAUCAAUUACGAAUGUUUUGUUUUUAAGGAGUUAUGACUUCAUCGGCUUGCUUCUUUCUUUAUGAAACUUUCUUAAUGCACUUUUCGGUUAACAAGUCAACAUCAAUUUCUUUUGUUGUAAAAGGGUAUGAGGAAGGUGGCUUUCUUUUCGGAGAAAGUGUUUAUAGCCUUGUGCCUCUGCAAUCGGAGAGAUUGAGGUCUGCAGCGUAGAUCCUUCGGGGUUAGAUACGUUUGUGCUAAGUUAUAGCUUUUCAUAGACAACUUGUUGACUAUGUUUAGUCUUGUAGCUUACUCGCUGACGCUAUUUUACCUACGCUUAGGAUGUUGAUGUGAUACUGCGAGCA
Molecule: ribosomal RNA, 774 nt
Filed under: uncultured Neocallimastigales
Lineage: Eukaryota; Fungi; Neocallimastigomycota; Neocallimastigomycetes; Neocallimastigales
Description: partial large subunit ribosomal RNA
Rfam family: Eukaryotic large subunit ribosomal RNA
Source: RNAcentral